AGAGUUUGAUCAUGGCUCAGAGCGAACGCUGGCGGCAGGCUUAACACAUGCAAGUCGAGCGGGCGUAGCAAUACGUCAGCGGCAGACGGGUGAGUAACACGUGGGAACGUACCUUUUGGUUCGGAACAACACAGGGAAACUUGUGCUAAUACCGGAUAAGCCCUUACGGGGAAAGAUUUAUCGCCGAAAGAUCGGCCCGCGUCUGAUUAGCUAGUUGGUGAGGUAAUGGCUCACCAAGGCGACGAUCAGUAGCUGGUCUGAGAGGAUGAUCAGCCACAUUGGGACUGAGACACGGCCCAAACUCCUACGGGAGGCAGCAGUGGGGAAUAUUGGACAAUGGGCGCAAGCCUGAUCCAGCCAUGCCGCGUGAGUGAUGAAGGCCCUAGGGUUGUAAAGCUCUUUUGUGCGGGAAGAUAAUGACGGUACCGCAAGAAUAAGCCCCGGCUAACUUCGUGCCAGCAGCCGCGGUAAUACGAAGGGGGCUAGCGUUGCUCGGAAUCACCGGGCGUAAAGGGUGCGUAGGCGGGUCUUUAAGUCAGGGGUGAAAUCCUGGAGCUCAACUCCAGAACUGCCUUUGAUACUGAAGAUCUUGAGUUCGGGAGAGGUGAGUGGAACUGCGAGUGUAGAGGUGAAAUUCGUAGAUAUUCGCAAGAACACCAGUGGCGAAGGCGGCUCACUGGCCCGAUACUGACGCUGAGGCACGAAAGCGUGGGGAGCAAACAGGAUUAGAUACCCCCGUAGUCC
Molecule: ribosomal RNA, 744 nt
Filed under: uncultured bacterium
Lineage: Bacteria
Description: bacterial SSU rRNA
Rfam family: Bacterial small subunit ribosomal RNA
Source: RNAcentral